Molecule: small RNA, 363 nt
Filed under: Echinops telfairi (small Madagascar hedgehog)
Lineage: Eukaryota; Metazoa; Chordata; Mammalia; Afrosoricida; Tenrecidae
Description: Nuclear RNase P (ENSETEG00000025359.1)
Rfam family: Nuclear RNase P
About the family: Ribonuclease P (RNase P) is a ubiquitous endoribonuclease, found in archaea, bacteria and eukarya as well as chloroplasts and mitochondria. Its best characterised activity is the generation of mature 5'-ends of tRNAs by cleaving the 5'-leader elements of precursor-tRNAs. Cellular RNase Ps are ribonucleoproteins.
Source: RNAcentral
AAGGGCUUGGAAACAUGCACCUUAAAGUGGCUGCCAACAUUGUCACCAUCCUUGACAAAACGGAUUCCCCUGCUUCAGGUAGAUAAGAAGACUGAAAGAAGCAGUGUUGAACUGUGGUUCCCAAUGAGAACUUCUGCUCACAUUAAGAAUGUUUUAUCCCAGAGAAUGGGGCUCCUCACAAGGGCAGACUGGGCAGGAGAAGACGAGGACUCCACGAGGGGCCUGGCGGAUGUCUCCUUCGCCGGAGCUUGGAACAGACGCACAGCUCAGAACAGACUCACAGUGGCAAAGUGAUUUCAAUGGUUGAUGUGGGGCACCCUCCUCUGGGGCCUCAUAACCCAAUUCAGACUACUCUCCCCCCGU